This 72-nucleotide transfer RNA is filed under the name Endobacter medicaginis. RNAcentral describes it as "tRNA-Ser". The record is from RNAcentral. Lineage: Bacteria; Pseudomonadati; Pseudomonadota; Alphaproteobacteria; Acetobacterales; Acetobacteraceae.
GCGAAAGCCGAAGUGGGAUGAAAAUCUGCUUUCCGACAGGAAGUGCGGGUUCGAAACCCGCCGUCCGCACCA